CUUUUAUUUGGUCACUUCCUCCUUUGGUAUUUUCAUGAUGUUUCAUUAAAUUGUUUCUUUCAGGAAAACCUGUACAAAGUAACUACCAGCUUUUGAAAGAGACAUUGGUUUUUUUUAGUAGAUUUGCACUUCAAGAUUUCAUAUGGUCACAAAUAUCAUUAUGGCCCUUAAGUUAAAUGUCAAAUACUUAAAAUUGUGGUUGUAUAUCUAGUUGCAGGUCCUUCUAGUUGUGGGAUGUGGGACGCCGCCUCAACGUAGCCUGAUGAGCGGUGCCAUGUCCGCGCCCCAGGAUCCGAACCCUGGGCUGCCGCAGCGGAGCAUGCGAACUUAAUCACUCAGCCAUGGAGCCAGCCUCAGAUGUAAUAAAUUUAAACUUGUGUGGACCUAAUAGCUUCAAAUAUAUGCAACGAAAAUUAAUAGGACUACAAGGAGAAAGUGACAAUUUCACUAUCAAAGUGGGAAAUUUUAAUAUUUUUCUCUUAGUUGACAGAUCAAGCACAUAAAAGAGCGUCAAAGACUUGAAUGAAACUUGGUAGACAUUUAUAGAACACUGUAUCCAGCAAUUGCAGAAUAUCUAUUAUUUCUAAGCAAACGUCAAAUAUUGAUGAAACUUUAGCACGCUUAAGCCACAAAAUUAGUCUCAACAGAUUUCACAGGAUGGGCAUCUGGGGCAAAAACUAACUAGAUGUUCACUAACCGGGCUUCUGCUUCCUGGUCCACAGCUCAACUAUAUUUUACAGUCUCCUUGCAUCUAGAUAGGGAGACGGGAUUAGUUCCUGUUAAAGGAAAGUGGGUAAAAGUGAUUAUACCACCUCCAAGCCUGGCCCCUGAAUGUGUCCCAGUGAUCUUUAUGCAUUCUCUCUUCACUUGUCAGCCAGCUCAGAGUAGCAGGGUGUCCAGUGUGACCCUAGGGGUAAAGUUACCAAGAGAUGUUGCCUGGAUCUCUGAGUUGUUGCUUGGAGGAGAGCCACUCAGGAAAGUCCACGGACCAGUUGCUUCAUGUGAGAAAUAAACUGUGCAUGUGUUUUAAGCCACUGAGAUUUUAGAAAUGCUCAUUAUAUCAAGGAGCUGACUAAAACAGUAUUGUGCAGACUGCAUUCUCCAACAGAUUGUGAUUAGGUUAAAAAUCUAGCAUAAAUAAAAAUGAGGAAAAAGCUAUGUGCCUGGAAGUUUAAAAAUGCAUUUUUAAACCACUCAGGUGAAAGAAUAAAUGAUGAAAAUUAGAAUGUACUCAAAACCGUACAAUAGAUAGAAUACUAAUUGUCAAGAUGUGUAGGUAAUAACUUCAACAGCCUUUAUAGGAAAAUAUAUAGCCUUAAAUAUUAACAUUAAAAAUAAUGAGGGCUCAAGAAUAAUGAAUUAGAUUUUUAACUUAAGGAACUAGGAAAAUAAUGGCAGAAUGAAGAUCAGAGCAGAAAUUAAUGAAACAGAAAAUGAACACGUAAUACAGAAGCUCAAUAAGCCAAAGGUUGAUGUUUAAAUUGAAAUAUAAUUCAUACACCAUAAAGGUCACCAUUUUAAAGUGGACAAUUCACUAAAGUGUUCUUUAGCAUAUUCACAAAUGUGUGCAACCAUCAUCACUAAUUCCAGAACAUUUCAUUAUCUCAGGAAGAAACCCAGUAGCUAUUGCCAGUCAUUCCUCAUUUUCUCCUCCCCUCUGCCUGUGGUAACCAUUGUCACUAAGGGUUUGCCUAUUGUGGACAUUUCAUAUAAAUGGAGUCAUUCAAUAUGUCGCCUUUUGAGACUGGUUUCUUACACUUUGCGUAAUGUUUUCAAGCUUCAUCUAUGUUGUAGCACAUUUCAGUCCUUCAUGGUCCAAUAAUAUUCCAUUGUAUGGAUAUACACAUUUUGUUUAUCCAUUCAUCAGCUGAUGGAUAUUUGGGUUGUUUCCACCUUUUGGCUACUAUGAACAAUGCUUUUAUGAACAUUCCUAUGCAAGUUUUGGGGUGGACAUACGUUUAUACCUCAAUAUAUCUAAGAGUAUAUGUGAGUAUAAAGGGCGUAUAUGUUUAUACUUACAUAUCCCCAAUUAUCUUGGGUCUAUACCUGAAUUGCUUAGAAUUGCUAGGUCUUAUGAUGAUUCUAUGUUUAACUUUUUGAGGAACUGCCAAAGUGUUUUUCAAAGCAGCUGUAUCAUUUUACAUUCCUACCAGCAAUGUCUGAGGUUCCGAUUUCUCCAUAUCCUCACCAACACCUGUCACUUCUUGUCUUUUAGUGCCAGUGGGAGUGUAAAGUGGUAUCUCGUUGUGGUUCUGCACUUCUCCAAUGACUAAUGAUGUUGAGCAUCUUUUCAUGUGCUGCUUCACUUAUUUGUAUAUCUUUUUGGUAAAAAUGUUUAUUUAAAUCCUUUGUUCAUUUUUAAAUUGG
Molecule: long non-coding RNA, 2367 nt
Organism: Equus caballus (horse)
Lineage: Eukaryota; Metazoa; Chordata; Mammalia; Perissodactyla; Equidae
Source: Ensembl